AGGGGAGCAAAAUUGAUAUUACAUUCAAUAGAAAUUCUUUCUAAAACGAUAUAAAACACAAAGAUCACUGAAUGAGAUUUAUUAAGAAUCCUUGGGAAAAAAAAUUUCCAAGGAAUCAUUUUCCAAUGUUGCUGUCAUUUUACAUUAGGUCACAAAAUUACUUCUAACAAUAAUCUUGCCUAGUCUAUAAAUGAUGCCACGCCUUAAAUUACAAACUCAGAAAUAUAAAUAAAUCCAAGUCAC
Molecule: unclassified non-coding RNA, 243 nt
Filed under: Hevea brasiliensis (rubber tree)
Lineage: Eukaryota; Viridiplantae; Streptophyta; Magnoliopsida; Malpighiales; Euphorbiaceae
Source: RNAcentral